CUACGAGUGGCUGCAGUGGGGAAUAUUGGACAAUGGGGGAAACCCUGAUCCAGCAAUGCCGCGUGUGUGAAGAAGGCCUGCGGGUUGUAAAGCACUUUCGGUUGGGAGGACUGCUUCUAGCACUAAUAUUGUUGGAAGUUGACGUUACCUUCAGAAGAAGCACCGGCUAACUCCGUGCCAGCAGCCGCGGUAAUACGGAGGGUGCAAGCGUUGAAUCGGAAUUACUGGGCGUAAAGCGCGCGUAGGCGGCUAGAUCAGUCGGGUGUGAAAGCCCCGGGCUUAACCUGGGAACUGCAUCCGAUACUGUCUAGCUUGAGUACAGGAGAGGAGAGUGGAAUUCCACAUGUAGCGGUGAAAUGCGUAGAUAUGUGGAGGAACACCAAUGGCGAAGGCAGCUCUCUGGCCUGAUACUGACGCUGAGGUGCGAAAGCGUGGGGAGCAAACAGGAUUAGAUACCCCGGUAGUC
RNAcentral lists this ribosomal RNA (466 nucleotides) under uncultured bacterium. RNAcentral describes it as "partial 16S ribosomal RNA". It matches the Rfam family "Bacterial small subunit ribosomal RNA", at positions 339 to 795 of the family's 1533-position model. The record is from RNAcentral.